AAGUGCCUACGGGGGGCAGCAGUGGGGAAUAUUGCACAAUGGGGGAAACCCUGAUGCAGCAACGCCGCGUGAGUGAAGAAGUAUUUCGGUAUGUAAAGCUCUAUCAGUAGGGAAGAAGAAAGACGGUACCUGACUAAGAAGCCCCGGCUAACUACGUGCCAGCAGCCGCGGUAAUACGUAGGGGGCAAGCGUUAUCCGGAUUUACUGGGUGUAAAGGGAGCGUAGACGGCAGCGCAAGUCUGGAGUGAAAUGCCGGGGCCCAACCCCGGAACUGCUCUGGAAACUGUGAAGCUGGAGUGCAGGAG
RNAcentral lists this ribosomal RNA (305 nucleotides) under uncultured bacterium. RNAcentral's name for it is "bacterial SSU rRNA". It matches the Rfam family "Bacterial small subunit ribosomal RNA", at positions 333 to 654 of the family's 1533-position model. The record is from RNAcentral.